AAUCAUUAGCCUCUUAAUUAGAGGCUGGAAUGAAUGGUUUAACAUUUCCUUAACUUUUUUAAAAAUUUUAAACAAAUUUAUAUUAAAUAUAAAAAUAUAUUUAUAUAUUAACUAGACGACAAGACCCUUUCAAACUUUACUGAAGUUAAGCUGGGGUAGCUUAAUAAUUAAUAUCUUAUUAUUUUUUUUAAAAAAAGACCCAAUUCAAAUUGAUUAGAUGAACAAGUUACUGAAGGGAUAACAGCAUAAUAAAUUUAUAUAGCUCUUAUUAAAAAAUUAGUUUAUGACCUCGAUGUUGAAUUAUAUAACUUCUACGCGCAAGAGUGUAGAAAGUAGGUCUGUUCGACCUUUAAAUUUU
RNAcentral lists this ribosomal RNA (358 nucleotides) under Tetragnatha sp. RNAcentral's name for it is "partial large subunit ribosomal RNA". The record is from RNAcentral. Lineage: Eukaryota; Metazoa; Arthropoda; Arachnida; Araneae; Tetragnathidae.